Passer domesticus (house sparrow) is the source of this 660-nucleotide long non-coding RNA. RefSeq lists it as uncharacterized. The transcript is spliced from 2 exons. The record is from RefSeq and is a predicted model, not a curated record. NCBI's taxonomy places the organism in Eukaryota, Metazoa, Chordata, Aves, Passeriformes, Passeridae.
ACCAAUACCACUGUUGGCAUCUGGAGGCUGCACCUGUCAUGAGUUAUGGCCCUUGUUUUUACAGGAAGAUUAAAACUGGUAUUUCAGUGCCAUCCAUCAUAUGUAAUAAACUCUCUGCCUUAGUAUAAAUGCAUUUGUAUGCCACUAUUGUAAACGAGUACAGGAAAUACAAGCAGUCAACUGUGUAUGUUAGACAUACUUUUUGUAAUACUUUCUGUUGCUAACAAAAUAAGUGACUAGCUCUCUUCCAGGGGUACUUUUGCAGGGCUGAAAUCGCAGGCUCUGUGUCACGAAUAAGCACAGUACCCUCUUUGCCCUUUACAUCUCAUAACAAGGUUAGAGCUUCAGCUAUUGUAUGGGUUCUGAAUUGCCUGGCCAGAAAUGUGGACCCAGGGUUCAUCUCAUCCCAAAAUAUUUGGUCACACAACCAAAUGCGUUCUGCUCAUGGGGGCUGUCAAGAUGCCUGGGUGAGAUAAAUGCCUUCUUUUCUGGCGGCUCCUUAAAAAAGGCACUGUCUGUGCCAGCAAGCUUAAAGGUUUUAUAGUUUGUGAAAAGCAGAUCCAGCACUGCCAUGGUGGGCCAUAGGCUCCCAAAAGACAAAGAAUUGAGUCUUGUACUCCCCAGCUCUCUUCUGCUUAAAUAAAGUUGCUAGUUGCCUAA